UACGUAGGGAGCGAGCGUUGUCCGGAAUUACUGGGUGUAAAGGGAGCGUAGGCGGGAAGGCAAGUCAGGUGUGAAAACUACAGGCUCAACCUGUAGACUGCACUUGAAACUGUUUUUCUUGAGUGAAGUAGAGGCAGGCGGAAUUCCUAGUGUAGCGGUGAAAUGCGUAGAUAUUAGGAGGAACACCAGUGGCGAAGGCGGCCUGCUGGGCUUUUACUGACGCUGAGGCUCGAAAGCGUGGGGAG
RNAcentral lists this ribosomal RNA (245 nucleotides) under uncultured Ruminococcus sp. Its description in RNAcentral is "partial 16S ribosomal RNA". It matches the Rfam family "Bacterial small subunit ribosomal RNA", at positions 524 to 768 of the family's 1533-position model. Lineage: Bacteria; Bacillati; Bacillota; Clostridia; Eubacteriales; Oscillospiraceae. The record is from RNAcentral.